This 253-nucleotide ribosomal RNA is filed under the name uncultured bacterium. Its description in RNAcentral is "partial 16S ribosomal RNA". It matches the Rfam family "Bacterial small subunit ribosomal RNA", at positions 524 to 776 of the family's 1533-position model. The record is from RNAcentral.
UACGUAGGGUGCAAGCGUUGUCCGGAAUUAUUGGGCGUAAAGAGCUCGUAGGCGGUUUGUCGCGUCUGCUGUGAAAAUCCAGGGCUUAACCCUGGACCUGCAGUGGGUACGGGCAGACUAGAGUGCGGUAGGGGAGAUCGGAAUUCCUGGUGUAGCGGUGAAAUGCGUAGAUAUCUGGAGGAACACCGGUGGCGAAGGCGGCGUUCUGGACUGUUUCUGACACUGAAAAACGAAAGCCAGGGGAGCAAACGGG